This 253-nucleotide ribosomal RNA is filed under the name uncultured bacterium. Its description in RNAcentral is "partial 16S ribosomal RNA". It matches the Rfam family "Bacterial small subunit ribosomal RNA", at positions 524 to 776 of the family's 1533-position model. The record is from RNAcentral.
UACGUAGGGUGCGAGCGUUAAUCGGAAUUACUGGGCGUAAAGCGUGCGCAGGCGGUUUUGUAAGACAGAGGUGAAAUCCCCGGGCUCAACCUGGGAACUGCCUUUGUGACUGCAAGGCUUGAGUGCGGCAGAGGGGGAUGGAAUUCCGCGUGUAGCAGUGAAAUGCGUAGAUAUGCGGAGGAACACCGAUGGCGAAGGCAGUCCCCUGGACCUGUACUGACGCUCAUGCACGAAAGCGUGGGGAGCAAACAGG